This 1553-nucleotide unclassified non-coding RNA is filed under the name Hevea brasiliensis (rubber tree). Lineage: Eukaryota; Viridiplantae; Streptophyta; Magnoliopsida; Malpighiales; Euphorbiaceae. The record is from RNAcentral.
AAAGAAGAAGAAAAAGAAGAAAAUCAAACCUACUUCCUGAACACAACAGAACUACCCAACAACAUUAUUCUUCUGAAACCAAUCAGAAUUAGUGGAUCAAAGAAUCAGAAGAAAGACAAACAACAACACUGCAAAUUGUUUCACACUUGCCCCUACAGAAAAUAACAAGAGCAACUUCUGAUGCAUUUUUUAUUCACAGAUUCACUCAAACUUCCUGUGACAACAGCUGUUUUCACUUCUUAUCUGUUCUAUGAAUUUAGUCUUAGCCUCAAUCCAUAUCAAUGUGUUGUAUAAAGGAUUUGAACAUUUUGAUUUGCUGUCCAGCCUCCAAAUUGGUGAUAUCUAAAAUGGGCAUAUCUUCAAAUGAGCUUUUCUUUGAUGGUAUAGUCUCCUGUCUACUCUUGGUAAUGGAUGUGGCUCUGGACUGACAAGAAUCAGCAGAAAAUAACCAGUUUGAGAGACUGCUAUCAACCGCAGUUUCUUGCAUCAGAGGUGUGGGUUUCUGUGCUUGUUGCUCUAAUGCUGCUACAUUCUCCUUUCUCUGACGCUUCACUGGUGGCAUUCCUUUAGCCUUCACUGCUUUCCACUGGCUGAGAUUUUCUACUGGGUUCAGCACAGAAUGAACAUACUGACUCCUAGCUCUAGCAUUUCGGUUCAUCCCAAGCGAUUUCAAUCCUCCCUCAUUCAAAUCGCCAAUGGGUUUCAGAUUUUCGGAAUUUUCCUCAGCAAACUCAGUCAAAGAAUCUCUCUUAUUUGAACUUACUGAUAAAGACAUGAAUUUCUCAGAAAACUCUUCUUGGCUUAUUCCCAUAUCAUCAAUACCGCCACCACUUUCGUCAUCCUCGUCAAAAUCAUCAUCAUCAUCAUCCAAGUUACUUUCUUCAUACUCUUCAUCGUAGCUGUCAAUGCAGUUUCGAUAUCUAUAAUUUGAUGGAUAAGAUGCCAUUUUUGUUACUAUCGAAUCGCCAUCAGAAAGAGACGGAGAUUUUCCUUCUUUUGCAGUUUCUUUGCUAAUUUCUACUUUCUUUUCCUCUUCCUCACUUUCCCAGAAAUUAUUUUUACUUUCUUCUUUUGGAAUCGGCUCAUAACUCUGCACAUUCAAGUUAAAGCUGACUUUCUUUCUAAUUUUGUAGUUCAAUGGCUCCUUCUGCUUUUUGCUGAGCUCAGAGUCUGAGUUUAUGGGCUCCCCUGUUAUAUCAAGAACCGUAGAAGUUGAAUCCAGAGGUUCAUAGCUACCAAAUCCCUGCAAGAUUCAAGAAAACAGAACACAAAAUUGAAAUCGUGUUCAAAGAGAAAAUUAACCAAGUGGUGACCAAGCUUACAUGGUCUCCAGGUUGAACUCUAUUGGCAGGUUUUCUGCGUUUUCUCUUGGAAGAAAAGCCAAAACAGCCAAGAAAGCACCCCAUCUUAGAAUUCUCUAAGUUGGACUGAGGAAUGUGUGGCUAGAGGGUCAUCUCGUUCAUGGUGAGAUAAGCUAAAAUAGACUCGGAGAGAUCAUUUCAUGUGAAGGAUGAAAUUUGAAAGUAAUUUUGGCUCCAACGGUUUUUGAAAAU